GGUGGCUUAGUGGUAGAGUGCUUGCCUUGCAUGCAAGAGGCCCUGGGUUUGAUUCCUCAGCACCA
Molecule: non-coding RNA, 65 nt
Organism: Dipodomys ordii (Ord's kangaroo rat)
Lineage: Eukaryota; Metazoa; Chordata; Mammalia; Rodentia; Heteromyidae
Source: Rfam